CCUGAUGCAGCGACGCCGCGUGAGGGAUGACGGCCUUCGGGUUGUAAACCUCUUUCAGCAGGGAAGAAGCGAAUGUGACGGUACCUGCAGAAGAAGCGCCGGCUAACUACGUGCCAGCAGCCGCGGUAAUACGUAGGGCGCAAGCGUUGUCCGGAAUUAUUGGGCGUAAAGAGCUCGUAGGCGGUCUGUCGCGUCGGAUGUGAAAGCCCGGGGCUUAACCCCGGGUCUGCAUUCGAUACGGGCAGACUAGAGUGCGGUAGGGGAGAUCGGAAUUCCUGGUGUAGCGGUGAAAUGCGCAGAUAUCAGGAGGAACACCGGUGGCGAAGGCGGAUCUCUGGGCCAUUACUGACGCUGAGGAGCGAAAGCGUGGGGAGCGAACAGGAUUAGAUACCCUGGUAGUCCACGCCGUAAACGGUGGGAACUAGGUGUUGGCGACAUUCCACGUCGUCGGUGCCGCAGCUAACGCAUUAAGUUCCCCGCCUGGGGAGUACGGCCGCAAG
This 500-nucleotide ribosomal RNA is filed under the name uncultured Actinomycetes bacterium. RNAcentral describes it as "bacterial SSU rRNA". It matches the Rfam family "Bacterial small subunit ribosomal RNA", at positions 382 to 892 of the family's 1533-position model. The record is from RNAcentral. Lineage: Bacteria; Bacillati; Actinomycetota; Actinomycetes.